GCGCGAUUAGCUCAGUGGUAGAGCGCUUGCUUCACACGCAAGAAGCCACAGGUUCAAUCCCUGUAUCGCGCA
Molecule: transfer RNA, 72 nt
Filed under: Candidatus Xiphinematobacter sp.
Lineage: Bacteria; Pseudomonadati; Verrucomicrobiota; Spartobacteria
Description: tRNA-Val
Rfam family: tRNA
About the family: Transfer RNA (tRNA) molecules are approximately 80 nucleotides in length.
Source: RNAcentral